Molecule: long non-coding RNA, 214 nt
Filed under: Nicotiana benthamiana
Lineage: Eukaryota; Viridiplantae; Streptophyta; Magnoliopsida; Solanales; Solanaceae
Description: long non-coding RNA (NBEN_LNC000798)
Source: RNAcentral
GCAGUCAAAGCAACAAUUAUUUUUCUUCUCCAUCCCCCAAAACCAUCACUUGAGAAGGGUGUGGGGACAAGAGAUACCCCGGGAACAUCGGAGGAGUAUAGCAAUAAAGGACUUGAAGAGUCCAAAAGACCAGUAUUGGUGGUACCAGUACUGGUGUUAGCAGUAUUGGUGUUAGCAUCCAUGAUAUAUCAACAAGGAAGAACAGAUUCAGCAA